This 860-nucleotide long non-coding RNA is filed under the name Nicotiana benthamiana. RNAcentral describes it as "long non-coding RNA (NBEN_LNC003134)". The record is from RNAcentral. Lineage: Eukaryota; Viridiplantae; Streptophyta; Magnoliopsida; Solanales; Solanaceae.
UUUUGAACAUUUUUCUUUUAGUCCAAUUUCAUGAGCCCAAAUGAGGAGCCCAAUCCCAAACCCAUAAGAUCUUUUAAUUUUUUGGACAAUACACAAGACUAAAAAAAACCCUAGCUACUAGACUUCAUCUUCCACCAACAAAACAAGAAGACUAAACCCUAAAGACCCUAAAAAAGAUCACUACCAGCCGCCAAACGACCCCCUGGACCCGCCAGCUCUUCUCCACAGCACCCUACACAGCCGCGACCACCCUCAUCAAAUCAGGGUCACCUCCAUAUCCCUCACCAACGGCCCAGCCACUCCAAACGCCCAAAAACUUGCCGGAACUGCCCUAUUCUUCAACACACAACCACGCCGGCCACGCCCAAUCCUUCAUGUUCAUUCCCUUCUCUCUCCCUCCUCGUUCCCUCUAUUCCUUUUCUCUGUUACUGCCUCGCCGGAGAAAUCAUUCGAGCUCGCCAGAGACCAGCUGCCUCCUUUCGUCAUCGCACACCCUCAUGUCCACGUCCAGAAGAUAGAGAGGGGAACAGUUUUUUGAUCUUCAAACUUUACUGCUGCUCCUCUUCACAAUUUCAAAGACAAACACAAACAAAUGAUUAUGGAGUUUGAGUAAGAAGUCGGUGUCGGAGUCGGGUUCGAGGUUUCUGGGCAGAUUCGUGGUUCCGUCGCGUUGUCCGUUGUUUAAGUUUUCCAUUAUCGCAUUUCAAAUUUCAUUUGGCAAAACUAUCUAAGGUUCUUUUCUUAACUUGUUCUUGGUUAAUAUAAAUUGACGUCUUGUGCAUUUAUAUGUUAAUGAAUGAAGUUUUGCUUCUCCGAAUGUGAUGUUUCUUUCAUUAAUCUUCAUGCCUAGUUGAUGCUCA